UACGUAGGUGGCAAGCGUCGUCCGGAUUUACUGGGUGUAAAGGGCAUGUAGCCGGGCUGACAAGUCAGAUGUGAAAUCCGGGGGCUCAACCCCCGAACUGCAUCUGAAACUGUUGGUCUUGAGUAUCGGAGAGGCAGGCGGAAUUCCUAGUGUAGCGGUGAAAUGCGUAGAUAUUAGGAGGAACACCAGUGGCGAAGGCGGCCUGCUGGACGACAACUGACGGUGAGGCGCGAAAGCGUGGGGAGCAAACAGG
Molecule: ribosomal RNA, 253 nt
Filed under: uncultured bacterium
Lineage: Bacteria
Description: partial 16S ribosomal RNA
Rfam family: Bacterial small subunit ribosomal RNA
Source: RNAcentral